GUGGGGAAUAUUGGACAAUGGGGGGAACCCUGAUCCAGCCAUGCCGCGUGUGUGAAGAAGGCCUUUUGGUUGUAAAGCACUUUAAGCGAGGAGGAGGCUACCGAGAUUAAUACUCUUGGAUAGUGGACGUUACUCGCAGAAUAAGCACCGGCUAACUCUGUGCCAGCAGCCGCGGUAAUACAGAGGGUGCAAGCGUUAAUCGGAUUUACUGGGCGUAAAGCGCGCGUAGGUGGCCACUUAAGUCAAAUGUGAAAUCCCCGAGCUUAACUUGGGAAUUGCAUUCGAUACUGGUUGGCUAGAGUAUGGGAGAGGAUGGUAGAAUUCCAGGUGUAGCGGUGAAAUGCGUAGAGAUCUGGAGGAAUACCGAUGGCGAAGGCAGCCAUCUGGCCUAAUACUGACACUGAGGUGCGAAAGCAUGGGGAGCAAACAGGAUUAGAAACCCUGGUAGUCC
This 451-nucleotide ribosomal RNA is filed under the name uncultured bacterium. RNAcentral describes it as "partial 16S ribosomal RNA". It matches the Rfam family "Bacterial small subunit ribosomal RNA", at positions 354 to 796 of the family's 1533-position model. The record is from RNAcentral.